Molecule: ribosomal RNA, 171 nt
Filed under: uncultured Banisveld landfill bacterium BVA72
Lineage: Bacteria
Description: partial 16S ribosomal RNA
Rfam family: Bacterial small subunit ribosomal RNA
Source: RNAcentral
CCUACGGGAGGCUGCAGUCAAGAAUAUUCCUCAAUGCACGAAAGUGUGAAGGAGCGACGCCGCGUGAUCGAAGAAGUCCUUCGGGAUGUAAAAAUCUUUUCUCUGGGACGAACUAAUGACGGUACCAGAGGAAUAAGGGGUUGCUAAACUCGUGCCAGCAGCCGCGGUAAU